Molecule: long non-coding RNA, 1849 nt
Organism: Athene cunicularia (burrowing owl)
Lineage: Eukaryota; Metazoa; Chordata; Aves; Strigiformes; Strigidae
Source: Ensembl
CUGAGUACCGCCAGCAGCCUCCUCUGGCCCAGGGCAGGGGAGGUGGGUGCACGCUUCUCUGUCUCCUCGACUGCUGGGACCGUUGAGCACUUCCAGGCUCAUGACUGUCUCUUCCCAUGUCUAGGUCUUUGUCAGGAAGGAUGUGGAUGCGGAGGACAAGCAGCAGGAGGCUGGGAGUCCCCGGGCUGGUGUUUUCUGCUCUCCAGUGGACAGAGGUUCCCCCUUCUAUGCGCUGGCAGGAUCCCCAGUGUCAUCACCCCGGAAAGAGACCCCCAAGGGCAAAGAGCCGGUCGUGGCGCCAAGAUGCAGUGGGCGAAGCGGCACGGGAGCAGUCCCCCUCCUCGACCUGAGCCCUCUGGUAGCCCAGUUCAACCGGGAGAUGAUGCAGGCAGAGAGCUGGGUGCGAGGCAAGCUGCGGGACCUGAAGGAUGGCUGUGACCUCCAGGACUGGGAGGAGGUGGCUCAAACCCUACAGCGGGAUAUGAAGGAUUUUGAGAACACGCUGAUAAAGCUCAACCAGAUGGGUGAGCAACUGAUGUGGCGGGCAAGCCCCAGCGCUGAGGCAGUGCGGCGGCAGCUGCUGGCCCUGCGGGACCAGUGGAAGCUCCUGAAGCAGACGGCCGCCAGCCAGAGCAAAGCCCUGGGGGGGCUGCGGAGCCUGCAGGACUUCAACAAGAAAGCUGAGCAGCUGGAGGCAUGGAUCAGGCACAAGGAGGAGAAGCCCUCCCUGGCAGCCCUCCUGCAGGAAAGCCCAGACAAGAUCCAGCUCACCCGCCGCAUUCUUGACUUGAAGCAGGAAGAGCAGCAGUUCCAGAGUCUGCACAAAGAGCUGAAUAGCCUGGCCCAGAAGCUGGAGAAACAAGGCAAAAGUGAGAGCAGGAGCAUCUCAGCCCGGCGCAAGCACCUCAACAAAACGUGGCUGCGGCUGCAGGGGACCCUGAAGGAGCACCAUGAGGCUCUGCAGCUGGCUCUGGAGGUGGCUGCCUUCCUCCAGCAAGCAGAUACCCUGCUCGGGGCCAUCCACACCAAGCAGAGGAGCAUCUGCGGUGUAGGGAAGCCAGGAGAGGGCGAUCCAUGCCGGGAUCGGGAUGUCAGGGACUUAGCCAGCCAGGUGAUGAUGCUGGAUGUGACCGUGUCCCAGCUCCUCAGCCUGCAGCCCAGCCUGGCAGCCCGAGUCACCCCCAAGCACCGAGACAUCAAGGAGAGCUGGGCACAGCUCCAGCAGGUGCUGAGGACAGAGAAGGCUCCAGCGCUGGGAAGCAGUUCCCUGGCAGGCGAAGCUGUGGCUCCAAAUGUGGCACCCCAAGGAGACGAUAGUGGCCGUGGAGCCAUAGGAAAGGAAGCAAAAGACAAAUGGGUGCUGAAGGACAUGCCGGGGAAGAUGGUGGAGCACAGGACAGGCAAGGAGAGCAGCCCUGGCUCCCCAGCGGCAGGGCAGCCUCUUCAUGGUGGGGACAGCAAAAGAAGGAGAAGAGAGGCAGAGUCUGAGUGGGGGAUACAGCAGCCAGACGCCCGGGUACAGGACGUCUGUCGGGCAGCGAACACGGUAAUGUCUCCCCAAGAGCCCCUUUUGCUCCCAGCCCAACCAAGCGAACCAGUGUCGAGGGGGACCCCCUUCCCAACCCCCUCCCACUGCUUAUGGGCAUGCAUGUUUGUGCACUCACACCCGUCCCUGGUCUGGGCACUAAUGCACCAUGUCUCCCGGCUCCUCAGCAGACUGUGUCCCUGCCAAAGGAUAGCAUGGGUCCUGGAGUCCCCCCGUGUCCAGCAGAGGAUGUUGAGAGCCUGGAGGCAGCACAGACGCAGCGGGAUCCCCUGGACCUCGGCACCAGGGCUGUGCUCCAGGUGA